AGCGAACGCUGGCGGCAAGCUUAACACAUGCAAGUCGAACGAUGUAGCAAUACAUAGUGGCGGACGGGUGCAUAACACGUGGGAAUCUGCCUUUAGGUACGGAAUAACUCAGGGAAACUUGAGCUAAUACCGUAUAAAAUCUCCGGAUCAAAGAUUUAUCGCCUAAAGAUGAGCCCGCGUCAGAUUAGCUAGUUGGUGGGGUAACGGCCUACCAAGGCGACGAUCUGUAGCUGGUCUUAGAGGAUGAUCAGCCACACUGGGACUGAGACACGGCCCAGACUCCUACGGGAGGCAGGAGUGGGGAAUAUUGGACAAUGGGGGAAACCCUGAUCGAGCUAUGCCGCGUGAGUGAUGAAGGCCGUAGGGUUGUAAAGCUCUUUUAGAUGGGAAGAUAAUGACGGUACCAUCAGAAAAAGCCCCGGCUAACUUCGUGCCAGCCGCCGCAGUAA
RNAcentral lists this ribosomal RNA (449 nucleotides) under uncultured bacterium. Its description in RNAcentral is "partial 16S ribosomal RNA". It matches the Rfam family "Bacterial small subunit ribosomal RNA", at positions 29 to 523 of the family's 1533-position model. The record is from RNAcentral.